This 963-nucleotide ribosomal RNA is filed under the name uncultured prokaryote. Its description in RNAcentral is "bacterial SSU rRNA". It matches the Rfam family "Bacterial small subunit ribosomal RNA", at positions 50 to 1025 of the family's 1533-position model. The record is from RNAcentral.
CGCUCCUGCAGUCGAGCGGAUGAGAGGAGCUUGCUCCUUGAUUUAGCGGCGGACGGGUGAGUAAUGCCUAGGAAUCUGCCUGGUAGUGGGGGAUAACGUUCCGAAAGGAACGCUAAUACCGCAUACGUCCUACGGGAGAAAGCAGGGGACCUUCGGGCCUUGCGCUAUCAGAUGAGCCUAGGUCGGAUUAGCUAGUUGGUGAGGUAAUGGCUCACCAAGGCGACGAUCCGUAACUGGUCUGAGAGGAUGAUCAGUCACACUGGAACUGAGACACGGUCCAGACUCCUACGGGAGGCAGCAGUGGGGAAUAUUGGACAAUGGGCGAAAGCCUGAUCCAGCCAUGCCGCGUGUGUGAAGAAGGUCUUCGGAUUGUAAAGCACUUUAAGUUGGGAGGAAGGGCAUUAACCUAAUACGUUAGUGUUUUGACGUUACCGACAGAAUAAGCACCGGCUAACUUCGUGCCAGCAGCCGCGGUAAUACGAAGGGUGCAAGCGUUAAUCGGAAUUACUGGGCGUAAAGCGCGCGUAGGUGGUUCGUUAAGUUGGAUGUGAAAGCCCCGGGCUCAACCUGGGAACUGCAUCCAAAACUGGCGAGCUAGAGUACGGUAGAGGGUGGUGGAAUUUCCUGUGUAGCGGUGAAAUGCGUAGAUAUAGGAAGGAACACCAGUGGCGAAGGCGACCACCUGGACUGAUACUGACACUGAGGUGCGAAAGCGUGGGGAGCAAACAGGAUUAGAUACCCUGGUAGUCCACGCCGUAAACGAUGUCAACUAGCCGUUGGGUUCCUUGAGAACUUAGUGGCGCAGCUAACGCAUUAAGUUGACCGCCUGGGGAGUACGGCCGCAGGUUAAACUCAAAUGAAUUGACGGGGCCCGCACAGCGUGGAGCAUGUGGUUUAUCGAGCACGCGAGACUUACUGGCUUGACAUGCUGAAAACUUCAGAGAUGGAUGGUGCUUCGGGAAC